UACUCCCUCACUCAUUUGUUUUCAUAAUUGUCUUUAUAUUUUUCACAAUUUAUUUGCCAAAUAAUAACAAUAAAAAGAGUUGAAACAUUAAUUUAGUGAGUAAUCUUAAACUUUUUAGAUCAUGUUUAUGUACUUAUUUCAACUUUUUUUUUUGAAUUACUGGAAUAUAAUCAUAUUGAAAUAAUAUUAUCCUUCAUAUAAAUCAAAUUCGCCAAUCCUAUAAAUUAAAUUUCUAAUUUUGUUGUUGUGAAAAUAUGACAUAAAUAUUUGUCAGUUUUAGUGGUUCUUUGUUCUGGGAGUGCUUGUGAGGUCCUAAGUUUAACCUUUCGCUUGGGUAAAUUUUGAUAUUUUGAAUGAAUUAGGCCUUACUCUUGUUUAGUAGGCUUUUAUUUGAUUGUUGGGUAAAUUACAUUAGAAUAACUUAUUAGUCUAGUGGUUAAAUGGUGUGUUAUUAUGGUGGAGGUCUUGUGUUUAAAUCCCUAUGUAGGCAAGGGUAUUAUUUAUUUAUUUAUUUAUUUUGCUCAGACUUUGGGAUAGAGUUUUUUAAUAGGGGGAUUCAGUAGUGGAUGUGUGGUGGGAAUUAGGGGAGAAGAUUAAAAGAUUUUUAGGGUUAUUGGGAUUUUAUACUCUCUUUUUCAAAAAAAAAAAUUUGUCGUUUAUUCUUCUCCCUCUCCUCUUGUCUAAAUUCUUUGAGUUUUUCCAUCUUUCUCUUUUUUUUUCUUCUUCUUGAUUUUUCCCUAAUCCAUUUAUUUUCUUUCAUUUUCGCACGCAGUUAGUGCUCGCUUAGUUUCGGUAAGUGUUUCUCUUCGUUUCUGUUAUGAAUCUCUUAACAACUGAAGUGACAAUGUUUUUUCUCUGCGAUUUGGGCAUAGGGGGAGGCUUGGACUGUUGAAUUCAGUGUUCUCGCUUUAACAAUAAUUAAACGAAGGGUUAUCGUUGGUGGUAAGUUGGGUUUCGGUUCGUUUUUGGUUUUCAAUUCACUUGUAAAUCCAUUAAAUUGAUGUUGAGUGUCUUGAUUAUAGGCUUUGGAGUGCUCGGGGACUAUUUUAACAUCAAACAAAACCAGGUGUGUACCCAAAACGCAAAAAAAAAAGAAAAAGAUUCGCGAAAAUCCAAAAUUGCUUGUUGUUUGGACAGAAACAGUAGGCUAACUUUGAAAAAUUACCAUAAAUUGUGGAAAUCGAAUUAAAGAAUGAAAAAAAUAUGGAAUUAAAUUUUAAUGAGUCUAGUUUCUCAUAGAAGAAACGGUGUAAGUAAUGGAAUUGUAAAUCGUGAGAUAUAAUAAAUUUUAUGAGACAAGGUCAGAAUGAAUUCGAGUUCCCCUGUUCUGACUUUGGAAAAUAAUCAAAAAUUGGAGAAAAAUAAUUAAGGGUUAAAAUUUACAUGUUUAAAUUAUUAAUGAGUCUAUUUUAAAUAGAAAUAAAUGGUAACAUCAUCCAAAUUUUUUGCUAAGAGAUAAUUAAUUUUUCGCAAAGAAAGAUCGAAACUGUCAGACAACAGAACAGGGGUAAGAUUGAAGAUUUUACUGUACUUAUUGGCUGAACCAAAAAUUCUGAAAAUUUUAUGGUAGAACGGUAUUUUAGUCUAGUUUCAAAGGCAUCAAGCAGACCUUAAUUUGGAAUUCUGUAGCUCGAGAUAUAAAUAAUUUAGUAAUAGUGACUCAAGUAGACAGCUUUGAAGGAACAUAUAAGUAAAUGGUGAAAACAUAUAUGAAUAAUUAACUAGCAUGGGUUAGAUUAAAAAUGGAUCACGUGGCCAAGGCCAAUUUAGGCCGAGUGGGACACAUGGGCGUGUGAGCCCAUUUUUCGGAAAAGUUCUGUAAAGUUACACGGGUCGCCCAAGUUGAUUGUGGACCUACUGUCGGGUCAGUAAGCUUUACUUAGACCCCUAUGUAACAACCCGGUUUGACUCUAAUCAGAAUAGUGGUUUCGGGACCACAAAUCUAAAUUAGAAAAAUAUUUUAAUAUUAUUUUGUGUGUUUAUUUUGUAUGCAUUUAAUUGUGUGAAAUUUUCGUGUUUUAAUUUCGCCGUUUAAGUGUCCGAUUUAAUAAAAGGGCUUAAUCGCGUAAAAUGAAAAUUUAGGGGUUAAUUAUUAAAACAACUAAUUGUUGUCUUUAUAAUUUAGAGGUUUUAUUAUGCAAUUAGCCCACUAUGUAAGUUAGUGGGUGGCAAAGGACUAAUGUAACCUUAUUAUAUAUGUUUUAUAUAUAUAUUAGUAAAGGUUAAUAUAGUAAAAUAAUAAUAAGGUUAAUAUAUGUUUAAUAUAACAAAUCAAAAUGCCAUGUUCUUCAUCUUUUGGCCGAAUUGGAGAGAAAAUAAAAGGGGUUUAAAGCUUGUUUCAUUCGGCACUUUCAAGCUUUGAUUAAGGUAGGGAUUUUGUUCGGUUUUUGAUGAUUUUUAUGUUUUUAAGAUCGUUGCUUCGAUUACUAUUUGACCCAUGCUUGAAUUUUUGAUUUUGGUGAAUAUUUUGAGCUAUUCCAUUGAUGAAUGUUUGAGUUUUAUGAUGUUAGUAGGUGAAAUAUGAAAUAUAUUUGUUAGAUUAAUAUAUUUUGUAUUGGAAUUUUUAGUGAAAUUGAGUAAAUAGGGCUAAAUUGUGAAAUUAAAUUUUUGGGGGACUAAAGUGUGAAAUAAAUGCAAUGUGUGGACUUGUAUGAGAACCAUGAAUAUUCGGCCCUUGUGUGGUAUGGGCAAAUUUUGUGUAAAUUGUGUUUUAUGCAAUAAGGAGUAAAUUGCAAAAAAUGUAAAUAUUAGGGGCAAAAUAGUAAUUUGCCAAAUUAUGUGUUUUUGGAUUAAAUUGAAUGUGUUAAUAAAUAAAUUAUCUUAUUUUGAAUAUAUUUAGAUCGAGAACCAAAGAAAUCGGAGUUAGAUCGGGGAAAAGCCAAAUUAGUCGAGUAAUCGUCCGACUUCGAUUUUCCAUCGUCCGAGGUAAGUCUGUUAGCAAUUUAAUGUUAUUAACUCAACAUAUAUAUAUGUGUGUAUAUUUAUUAUAUAAUUUAUGAGCUAUAAUUAAAAGUAUAUAAAUUGAAUUUAGUUAAUAUAAGCAUUUAUAUAUGUAAAUAAGAAGUUCGAAUAAGUAUGUAUAUAUAAUUAUAAGUUUUUGGAGUUAAGUGAAAGUAUGGAUGUUAUAUUUGUAUUUAUAAUGUUCGAAUAUAUAUAUGUAUAUAUAUAUAAAUAAAUUUUUGAAUUUAGUUGAAUUGUGAAUGUUAUAAAAAUAUUAAUAGGGUUCGAAUAAGCAUGUAUAAGUUAUUGUAUUGAAAUUAGAUAUGAAGUUAUAUAUAUGAGCAUGAGGUUCGAUUGUGUAUGAAUAUAUAUAUAUAAGUUCAUGAGUUGAAUUAUAAGUAUAAAUUAUAUAUAAAUGUAUAUGAGGUGCAAAUAUGUAUGUAUACAUAUGUAUAAUUUUUGUAUUGAAUCAAAGGUAUGAAAUUAUUAGCUUAGAUUAUUUAUAAUAUGUUUGAAUGUAUGAUAUGUUUUCUUUGAAGUGAAUUUAAUGCCAUAAAAUGUGUAUGUAUCUAAGUAAUUCGAAUGUUAAAUGUAUAUUACUUCGGGUAUAUUAUAAAUUUAAUAGUAUGAUAUUAGUAGUAGGAUUCAAGUUAUAAAGUUAUAUACAUAAAUUUGUUAGGUUGAAUCAUGAAGAUAUUGAGCUGGAUUUGGUGUUUGAAUUUCAUGUACCUAUGUGGUUCAAAGAUAUAGGUUAUAAAUUUUGAGCUGAAUUUUUACGUAUGGAUUUAUAUACAUAUAUAGUUCGAAUAUGAAUUACAGCUUCUUUUAACUGAAAUUAUUGUUGUGAAUUAUAUAAGUAUGUUUUAAGUGCAUGAUUGUUACGUAGAAUUGAAUAUAAUUCAAUUCCAACGGAGAAACGACUAUCGGAUUUAUUGCCAGUGAAAUUAUUCAGACUAUACGUCUAGCAGGCUAAGUGCCGGUGAAUUGAAUCGGACUAUACGUCCAGCAGGCUAAGUGCCGGUGAACUAAAUCAGGAUACAAGCCUAGCAGGCUAAGUGCCGGUGAACUAAAUCAGGCUAUAGGCCUAGUAGGCUAAGUGCCGGUGAACGGAAUUAAACUAUAAGCCUAUCAGGUGAAGUGCCAGUGAAUCUGUUUAAAUUAAGUGAUUCUAUGCAUUCGGUAUAAAUAUAUAUGAUUUUGUUUAUAUGAAAUGGAUAAAUUUAUGAACAUUAUUUCAAGGUGGUUGAUGAGUAUAUAAUCAUUCGAAUUCUUGUGAAUAGUGAGUAUGUAUAUAUAUAUAUAUAUCGGUUAUCAUGAAAUUGUUGGAUAUAAAUAUAUGUGUGUAUAUAUGUAUGCAUUCGGCAUAUGUGGGUAUAAGUGUAUAUGUGCAUUCGGCACUUAUAGUUGAUAAGUAUAAAAAUUUUGCUCUUGAUAUAUGUAAUUGAACAAUUAUAUAUAAAUGGAUCCGAUGAAGUGCGAACAAUAAGUACUCUAGUAAUCAGUAUAUGCAGUUAAUGAUUAUGUUAGUAACUUGAUUAUAUGCAUAUAAUGUAUAUACCCUUGUCCAUUUAUGUAUAUUAGUUAAAUAUACAUUCUUUUAGAUUUAAACAAAAUGACUUAAUAUAGCAAUGAUUGGUUAGUAAAUAUAUUUGAUAUUUGUGAUUUCAAUAAAUUUACUUAAAGAAUUAUGUGAUUCUUUUAUAUGUAUUUUUAGAUAUGCUAUAGACUUACUAAGCUAUAAAAGCUUACUUUGAUUGUUUUUGUCCAUUUGUUUUUAUAGAUUUUGGAGACGUGUUACGAGCUCGGGGAUCAUCAGCAUAGUCUAUCACACUAUCGACUUCUUUUGGUAUUUUGUUAAAUAUUUAAACUUGAUCUUAUGGCAUGUAUAGGUUUGAGUACGAUGUUGGUUAAAUUUUGAUUGUAAAUUAUAAAUAGCUAUGAGAAAAUAAUUUAAUUUUCAUGUUUGUGAUCAGUUUGGUUUUAAAAAUGGUUGUGUUUGUUCGGUAAUGCCUCGUAAUCCUAAUUCAGCGACGGAUACAGGUUAGGGGUGUUACACCCUAUAUGUGUGAUCUGUCUGUCUGAUUUCCAUACCGAGCAUGACUUAUGAUAUCUGAAUGUAUGUACUAUUAAUUGCAUAAUGGCAUGACAUAUUUUGUAUGUUGUAUUGCAUCGGGGUGAGUUGAUAUUUGGAGGAAGUGUCUGAAAGGCUAUUAAGCCUGUUAUCUGGCAGCUCAACUGCAACCUUCUGAUUAUGUGCCACAUUUCGGUAUAGCAUGGUGUGUAGGGAUGGGUGGGUUGAUUUAAUCCCCACAUGGUCUGUAGGGUUGGACGGAGAUGAUGUGUAGAGACUGGUGGGUAGGAUUCUGAUUUACUGUAUCUGCAUUCUGUAUCUGAUAUGGGCCAAGGCCCUAAUGUAUUUCUAAGACUAUAUCUGAAUGGGUUAAGGCCCAAACUGAUUCUGUGAUGGGCAGAGUCCCCAUUCUGUAUCUAACUGAAUUCUGUUGAUUUUCUGUAUGCAUGUUUUCUGUGGGGAUUACACACUGAUUUUGCGAAACUCACCAUUUCUCUGUUUAAAUCUGUACAGGUAAUUCCCAAAUUUGACAGGUCGGUGCAACAAAGAACUCGACGGUGGCCACACGUAAAUUUUAGAUUGUUUUCCGUUAAUGCCUAGAAUUUAUUACUUAUUUAGAGUUUUUGAUGUAUCUUCUACUAGAAUAUAGACUGGUUGGCUUUAAAUUUGGGACAUUAUACUUUUUUUUAUGGAUUUUUUUUAAAACUGCAACUCCACAAAACACGAUUUUUUUCUAAAAACUAAGGUUUUUCGUAAAUAGAAACGAUUUUCUCUAAAUUAAUUAGUUACAAAAGCUUCCGCUAAG
Molecule: long non-coding RNA, 5816 nt
Filed under: Gossypium barbadense (sea-island cotton)
Lineage: Eukaryota; Viridiplantae; Streptophyta; Magnoliopsida; Malvales; Malvaceae
Description: long non-coding RNA (GBAR_LNC019378)
Source: RNAcentral